UGGGGAAUAUUGCACAAUGGGCGCAAGCCUGAUGCAGCCAUGCCGCGUGUGUGAAGAAGGCCUUCGGGUUGUAAAGCACUUUCAGCGAGGAGGAAGGGUAGUGUGUUAAUAGCACAUUGCAUUGACGUUACUCGCAGAAGAAGCACCGGCUAACUCCGUGCCAGCAGCCGCGGUAAUACGGAGGGUGCAAGCGUUAAUCGGAAUUACUGGGCGUAAAGCGCACGCAGGCGGUUUGUUAAGUCAGAUGUGAAAUCCCGCGCUUAACGUGGGAACUGCGUUUGAAACUGGCAAGCUAGAGUCUUGUAGAGGGGGGUAGAAUUCCAGGUGUAGCGGUGAAAUGCGUAGAGAUCUGGAGGAAUACCGGUGGCGAAGGCGGCCCCC
RNAcentral lists this ribosomal RNA (381 nucleotides) under uncultured bacterium. Its description in RNAcentral is "partial 16S ribosomal RNA". It matches the Rfam family "Bacterial small subunit ribosomal RNA", at positions 355 to 729 of the family's 1533-position model. The record is from RNAcentral.